UUUACAUAUUAAUUUAAGUUGUUGAUUUUUAAUAUUGGUGACUACUGCGGCAAGGAAAAACGUACGAAGUCCCAUCCAAUAAACAGAGAAGAUAAUAUCGCGAUCCAUUGAGAAAAGAAGGCCACGAUAAAGAAGAAUGGGUCAGUAUUCAAAAGCUGCUGAAAAAAUAUGGAAAAAGAACGAGUUCUUGGCAUACAAUGCUGACACGAGAAAUAUUCUAUUAAUUACAAAAAAAGGAUGCUAAAUGACAGUUUACAAAU
RNAcentral lists this long non-coding RNA (260 nucleotides) under Helicoverpa zea (corn earworm). Its description in RNAcentral is "uncharacterized LOC124643159". The record is from RNAcentral. Lineage: Eukaryota; Metazoa; Arthropoda; Insecta; Lepidoptera; Noctuidae.